AACGUUCAAAGAAGAAGAAAAAAAAUAAAUAACUAAGGAGGGAGGAUCGAGAGAAAAGGUUCUUUCAUUUGGAAAGCGACGUAAGUUCAGUGUCGAGGUUCGGAUUCGAGUUACGUUCGUUAUCCUUACCCGUUUUCUUGUAAUUGCUGGUCUUCUUUUAUAUUAUUGAAAGCUUCUGCAAAGGUUCAUAUUCUCUAUCUUUAUUAUUUUCUGUCUUUGAAUUUGUAUAUAUUUUAUGUGUUCAACACUGUGUAAU
Molecule: long non-coding RNA, 256 nt
Filed under: Nicotiana benthamiana
Lineage: Eukaryota; Viridiplantae; Streptophyta; Magnoliopsida; Solanales; Solanaceae
Description: long non-coding RNA (NBEN_LNC025447)
Source: RNAcentral